This is a small nuclear RNA of Cynocephalus volans (Philippine flying lemur), 105 nucleotides long. The record is from RefSeq and is a predicted model, not a curated record. Lineage: Eukaryota; Metazoa; Chordata; Mammalia; Dermoptera; Cynocephalidae.
GUGCUCGCUUCGGCAGCACAUAUACUAAAAUUGGAACAAUACAGAAAAGAUUAGCAUUUCUCAGGAAUUUCUGGAGUUAUUUUUUGAUAAUUUUUGCACUUUCAU